This 848-nucleotide long non-coding RNA is filed under the name Cyanistes caeruleus (blue tit). RNAcentral's name for it is "lncRNA (ENSCCEG00000008471.1)". The record is from RNAcentral. Lineage: Eukaryota; Metazoa; Chordata; Aves; Passeriformes; Paridae.
AAUCACACCAUUUACCAUUAGACCUCAUUGGUAUUCACAGGAACAUUUAUAAAGGCUCCCAACAUUAGAGUCUAAAAUUGCUCUCUGCCCACCUUGGAGUGCUCAUCUGGUGUUGCUGCGUCAGGACUGGCUGCUACAGCACAACUCCUGUCACUGCAGACACGGGAGCUCAUUUUAAACAGGUCAUUUUUAAUGCAUCAGAAUGCCAACCACACACAGCCACUGUUCUUUCAGCUGGGACGAAGCACUGGUUUUUUGUGAGGAGACUGCCUCACCUCCAGGGCAGGUCACAGACCCCGAAAGAAAACACUGCAGAUCUGCCAAACCUGCUCCAGCCAAUGAAACAUUUCUUUAACAGCACUGCUCAGUUAGGGAGCCAACCUAAAAGUGGCAGAAUGGUCAAGUGCCACCCUCCUAGUGUUCAAAGUGCAACAUGUCCACACAGUGCAUUUAAAUUUGCUGUGAAAGCCAUGGGGAGCUCAGGGACAGGAGCAGAGUUUACACCAGAAACUGUGUUUAGUGUAACAGGAGCCUGACAGGAGCUGUGGAAGAGGAUGGACCUAAAUCCAGUGGGUUACAGACAUGGUUUUGUCCUCAGGUGUCACGUUUUGCUAUGGCACAGAGGCAUCCUAAGCACUGAGCUCAUUGUUAGACAUAAAUGUGUAAUACUGGAAUAGAAAGAUACAUAAAAGUUUCACUGCACCACAUUUUAUCCACAGCUUUAAAAAAGUACCCAAAUUUACUUGAAGAAAGAGCUGGCAGCCCCAUCACAUUAUAUUUAAAAGCAUUGUCUUCCUUCAUUUAAGGGAGAAAAUAAAAACAAGAAAAAGAAAUGAAAACUUUCUUUA